RNAcentral lists this ribosomal RNA (253 nucleotides) under uncultured bacterium. Its description in RNAcentral is "partial 16S ribosomal RNA". It matches the Rfam family "Bacterial small subunit ribosomal RNA", at positions 524 to 776 of the family's 1533-position model. The record is from RNAcentral.
UACGUAGGUGGCAAGCGUUGUCCGGAUUUAUUGGGCUUAAAGGGCGCGUAGGCGGUCUUAUAAGUCAGUGCUGAAAUAUCCCGGCUUAACCGAGGAACUGCCUGUCAGACUGGGUUGCUUGAGGCCGGGAGAGGCGGGUGGAAUUCCCAGUGUAGCGGUGAAAUGCGUAGAUAUUGGGAGGAACACCAGUGGCGAAGGCGGCUCGCUGGACCGGAACUGACGCUGAGGCGCGAAAGCGUGGGGAGCAAACAGG